RNAcentral lists this ribosomal RNA (597 nucleotides) under uncultured bacterium. RNAcentral describes it as "bacterial SSU rRNA". It matches the Rfam family "Bacterial small subunit ribosomal RNA", at positions 338 to 946 of the family's 1533-position model. The record is from RNAcentral.
CCUACGGGAGGCAGCAGUGGGGAAUCUUGCGCAAUGGGCGAAAGCCUGACGCAGCAACGCCGCGUGCGGGAAGAAGGCCCUAGGGUUGUAAACCGCUUUCAGUAGGAACGAAAAUGACGGUACCUGCAGAAGAAGGUGCGGCCAACUACGUGCCAGCAGCCGCGGUGACACGUAGGCACCAAGCGUUGUCCGGAUUUAUUGGGCGUAAAGAGCUCGUAGGCGGUUCAGUAAGUCGGGUGUGAAAACUCUGGGCUUAACCCAGAGCCGCCACUCGAUACUGCUGUGACUUGAGUUCGGUAGGGGAGCAGGGAAUUCCUAGUGUAGCGGUGAAAUGCGCAGAUAUUAGGAGGAACACCGGUGGCGAAGGCGCUGCUCUGGGCCGAUACUGACGCUGAGGAGCGAAAGCGUGGGUAGCAAACAGGAUUAGAUACCCUGGUAGUCCACGCCGUAAACGUUGGGCACUAGGUGUGGGUUCCAACCAACGGAAUCCGCGCCGUCGCUAACGCAUUAAGUGCCCCGCCUGGGGAGUACGGCGGCAACGCUAAAACUCAAAUGAAUUGACGGCUGAGACGNGCCGAGACGACGACGAGGGAGAGG